Molecule: transfer RNA, 75 nt
Filed under: Chloroflexi bacterium TMED70
Lineage: Bacteria; Bacillati; Chloroflexota
Also listed under: 5 other names
Description: tRNA-Asn
Rfam family: tRNA
About the family: Transfer RNA (tRNA) molecules are approximately 80 nucleotides in length. Their secondary structure includes four short double-helical elements and three loops (D, anti-codon, and T loops). Further hydrogen bonds mediate the characteristic L-shaped molecular structure. tRNAs have two regions of fundamental functional importance: the anti-codon, which is responsible for specific mRNA codon recognition, and the 3' end, to which the tRNAs corresponding amino acid is attached (by aminoacyl-tRNA synthetases). tRNAs cope with the degeneracy of the genetic code in two manners: having more than one tRNA (with a specific anti-codon) for a particular amino acid; and 'wobble' base-pairing, i.e. permitting non-standard base-pairing at the 3rd anti-codon position.
Source: RNAcentral
UCCCGAGUAGCUCAGCGGUAGAGCAGCUGACUGUUAAUCAGCGGGUCACAGGUUCGAAUCCUGUCUCGGGAGCCA